Long non-coding RNA from Chinchilla lanigera (long-tailed chinchilla), 1319 nucleotides. RefSeq lists it as uncharacterized. Lineage: Eukaryota; Metazoa; Chordata; Mammalia; Rodentia; Chinchillidae. The transcript is spliced from 3 exons. The record is from RefSeq and is a predicted model, not a curated record.
UGUGAGGCUCUGGGUUCAAUCACUGGUACCGCACACAGAAAGGAAAAAAAUCAAACAAAAGACUAUGCCAAAUGUUGGAAGAAUUGGAGCAACUGGAACUCUCAUCACUACUGGCUAGAAUAUAAAGGAGCAUAACUACUUUGGACAGCUACUGGCUGGCUGCCUAGUAACCUGGGCAGCAACAUCCGGGCUCUGCUUCCUCAUCUCCGGUGGCCUACGGGAAGUUGCACGCACUCCGGGAGAUAAUGCACACAGUCAGCCACUGCUCUUGUCCUGUGUGAGGCCCCAGCAGAAGGCCUUCAGAAAACGGUGACGCAAGAAUUCUGCAGGUCUCCUACCUCUUGCCCCUGCUCCCUGAGCCCUUCUUCUCAUGAGAUAAACUCUGUGCGCUCAGACUGCCAAGAACAGGGCACGCACCCCUCCAGCAACCGUCACGCAGGCCUGAGAGGGUAGGUGGGCACUCUGCCAGCCCAGCACAUCAAGCAAAUGUCUCCCAGCAAAGGUCAGCCUGCCCAAAAUAAGGAAGUACCUGGAACCAGAAAAGGCAGGAGGAAGAAAGCAAUUAUUUCUCCCUGGGGAUGGAGUUGAGAGGAAGGACGCUGGUGUGAUGAUCAAAUCAUGGCCUGGAGUCCUGAGGGCGAAUCCGGGCCCUGACACUAAUUGCUGUCUGACCUUGGCAAAUGUGCUUACCCUCCCAGUGACUCUGUUUUGCUGCCGAAAGAUGAGGACAAUAGUGACAACACGCCUGCCUGGUAGCAUUUCUGUGAGGAUUGAGUGAGUUAAUCGAUAUAAAGUGGUUGGAACUGAGCCUGACGCAGGGAGAGAGCCCGGGUACCCACUGCUGCUUCACGGAUGGUGCACCAAUUUCAAGGGGGGCUGCAGCAACCCCUCCCAUCCCACACGCCCUGUUCCAGAGUCCCUGCCCGGACGAAGAGGUGGCGUUUCCUUUCCCGCUGAAUCUUGACUGGCUUGGAUCUCGGUGGCUCUAUGAGUUGUGGCAGAAGUGACAGUCUUGGACUUCUGGGCCUUAGGAGCAUUUGCAACUUCCAUGCUAUGAGGAAGCACAAAUCACACGAAAGACUGGGGCAGGUCCGGCUGGGAUCUCGGCUGACAGCCAGCACCCAGCGCUGCUUGUGUGACUGAGGAAGCCUUUGAGGUGACUUGCUCCAGCCCCAACCAUUGUUUGACUGACCCUGCACGAAAGCCACUGCGCUGGGGCCACUCAAUUCCCACUGCUGUGAGGGAUAAUCAAGUGACUACUGUUGGGGCUGGGGAUUUAGCUCAGCGGCACAGCGCCUGCCUGGCAAGCACGAGGUCGU